Molecule: ribosomal RNA, 254 nt
Filed under: uncultured bacterium
Lineage: Bacteria
Description: partial 16S ribosomal RNA
Rfam family: Bacterial small subunit ribosomal RNA
Source: RNAcentral
GACGUAGGGCGCGAGCGUUGUCCGGAUUUAUUGGGCGUAAAGAGCUCGUAGGCGGCUUGUCGCGUCGGCCGUGAAAACCUGCAGCUUAACUGUGGGCUUGCGGUCGAUACGGGCAUCACUGGAGUUCGGCAGGGGAGACUGGAAUUCCUGGUGUAGCGGUGAAAUGCGUAGAGAUGUGGAGGAACACCGAUGGCGAAGGCAGCCUCCUGGGCCAACACUGACGCUCAUGCACGAAAGCGUGGGGAGCAAACAGG